GCCUGGCUAGCUCAGUUGGUUAGAGCGGGAUUCUGAUAAUGUGAAGGUUGUAGGUUCGAUCCUUGUAUGGGACA
Molecule: non-coding RNA, 74 nt
Organism: Podarcis lilfordi (Lilford's wall lizard)
Lineage: Eukaryota; Metazoa; Chordata; Lepidosauria; Squamata; Lacertidae
Source: the annotation of a GenBank genome assembly